This 85-nucleotide transfer RNA is filed under the name Felis catus (domestic cat). It matches the Rfam family "tRNA". From Rfam's summary of the family: Transfer RNA (tRNA) molecules are approximately 80 nucleotides in length. Their secondary structure includes four short double-helical elements and three loops (D, anti-codon, and T loops). Further hydrogen bonds mediate the characteristic L-shaped molecular structure. tRNAs have two regions of fundamental functional importance: the anti-codon, which is responsible for specific mRNA codon recognition, and the 3' end, to which the tRNAs corresponding amino acid is attached (by aminoacyl-tRNA synthetases). tRNAs cope with the degeneracy of the genetic code in two manners: having more than one tRNA (with a specific anti-codon) for a particular amino acid; and 'wobble' base-pairing, i.e. permitting non-standard base-pairing at the 3rd anti-codon position. The record is from Rfam by way of RNAcentral. RNAcentral also lists the same sequence under 2 other names. Lineage: Eukaryota; Metazoa; Chordata; Mammalia; Carnivora; Felidae.
GCCUGGGUGGUUCAGUCGGUUAAGUGUCUGACUUUGGCUCAGGUCAUGACCUCAUAGUUCGUGGGUUCGAGUCCCGUGUCAGGCU